UACCAGCUCUCCGAGUGGUGUGGAUGUUUAUUGGGCCUAAAGCAUCCGUAGCUGGCUGGGCAAGUCCCCUGUUAAAUCCACCGAUUUAAUCGUUGGUGUGCGGGGGAUACUGUUCGGCUAGGGGACGGGAGAGGCCGACGGUAUUUUCGGGGUAGGGGUGAAAUCCUAUAAUCCCGGGAAGACCACCAGUGGCGAAGGCUGUCGGCUAGAACGCGCCCGACGGUGAGGGAUGAAAGCUGGGGGAGCGAACCGGAUUAGAUACCCGGGUAGUCCAAGCUGUAAACGAUGCAGGCUAGGUGUUUGGGCGGCCACGUGCCGCUCUAGUGCCGCAGAGAAGUCGUUAAGCCUGCCGCCUGGGGGGUACGGCCGCAAGGCUGAAACUUAAUGGAAUUGGCGGGGGAGCACCACAAGGGGUGAAGCUUGCGGUUUU
This 430-nucleotide ribosomal RNA is filed under the name uncultured archaeon. Its description in RNAcentral is "bacterial SSU rRNA". It matches the Rfam family "Archaeal small subunit ribosomal RNA", at positions 474 to 904 of the family's 1478-position model. The record is from RNAcentral.